GGAUUUCAGGACCACGGAGAGCUCCACAAAGUCUUCUUGUUUAGCAUAGUAAACCUAAAUCAAGAGUUUUUCAAACCAAGGAGACUCAAGGGAGAGCUAAAGGAAGUUUGUGGAAAGGUUUAGAGAAAAAAUAAUUUAAAUGUACUGAAAUAUACGUUUUAUCAUUGAACAUUCUAUUUUAUACAGGUGAUUAAUUACAAGUAUUUUAUUCUACAUGUUAUUUUUCACCUAUGAUUCAGGUCUUGAUACCUAUAUAGACCUGAACAUAUGAAAAUAUAUGCCUUUUAUAUUUUAGGAAGGUGAACCCUCACAAAUAAGAGGUCAUUAUAUUGGGCGCCGUGACAUCAAAGUUUGAAAACCCCUGAGAAUAACAUGCCUAAUGUGGAUUUAGAUCAUGAUGGUCUACUUUGUUCGGCUGGUGUUGAGCAGGUGCUAACAGAUCUUUGGGAUGAUAUUGAGAGUUCCUUCAUGUCAGAGAGUGAAUUGAAAUCACCAUGACAUAUUGGUCUGACCUACUGAACUCCCGCUGUGGAGCUUGAGUAGAGGGCGAUUUGGCUGUGUGGGAGAAAUGCCAUGAGACAUCCACUCAACGCUGGAGUUCAAUUCACUUCAAUAUUGCAGAAACAGAACAUAAUCUGCCUUCUCAUCUCCACUGCCCUUCACUCAAUGGCGGACAUGGGAAUCGUUUCCACUGAUGAGGAAAAGCAAGAACUCCACCUCGCCGCCCUCCACCUCUCCGGUUAAUUUUCAGAAGGCUUGAUUUAAUAAGGUAAGUGUAAAUGAUUUACACAAUCUCUGAUCUUUCAUCUUAUUCAUGUGUACUAUUACUAUUAUUUGACUAUUUGAAAUAAAUGCUGGUAUUUUGAACUUUAAAAGAAUCCU
Long non-coding RNA from Cyprinus carpio (common carp), 882 nucleotides. NCBI's taxonomy places the organism in Eukaryota, Metazoa, Chordata, Actinopteri, Cypriniformes, Cyprinidae. The record is from Ensembl.